Non-coding RNA from Oryctolagus cuniculus (rabbit), 160 nucleotides. Lineage: Eukaryota; Metazoa; Chordata; Mammalia; Lagomorpha; Leporidae. The record is from RefSeq and is a predicted model, not a curated record.
CAGACACACAUGGAGGUCCUGGUGCAGACCUGGUGCAGACACGCAUGGAGGUCCUGGUGCAGACACACAUGGAGGUCCUGGUGCAGACCUGGUGCAGACACGCACAGAGGUCCUGGUGCAGACACACACGGAGGUCCUGGUGCAGACCUGGUGCAGACAC